GGGGCUGCCCUGUUGGUUGAUGAGGGAGGUGUGGUUGGUUGUGUGUUGGAGCACAGAGCAUAUCUUGGUGGGGCCCUUUUUCCUGUGAAGUGGUUGCACUGUAUCCCAGGCAGCAGUCAGACUUCAGGUGUGAGACUGAAGGGUGCAGCCAGGCUGAGAGUGUGGAUGUGGACAGACUGCUCGGCAUAUUCAGAGGUGCAGGGGAGGAGCAAGAGAGGAUGGCAGCCAGAGAAAAUGACAUCUCCUGAAAUAGCUCGCUUGCAAGAGCGUGUGUUCCUGGGACUACAGGGAAGAUUCUCACCGUCAACUUUUUCUACAGAAAAGAACAUUCACCCCAGAAACAGGAAUUCCCACAGAACGUUAUAAUACAGAAGAAAUUCAGCUGUAUCUCACAGCAUUUCCUACAACCCAAGAUAGCAUCCUUGACAGGAAUUGAGAUAGCAGACCAGACAGGGAGACACAGGUCCCUUUGGAGCAGGAGGUUGACUUGACCAAAGAGAAAAGGUCUCACAACCCUAUGGAAACUUCUUCCUGCCAUGAAGCUACAGCCUAAGGCUUUGUCUGCUCUAUUAGAUUUUUCACCCAAAUCACCACGCUUCCAAAAAGAGGAAAACCUCUGUACUGAGCUGAGAUGUGUGAUAAGAUGGGGCUGAUGCGGAUAACAUCGGGGCUCUAGCUCUGGUACAUGGGUCAUAGGACUGUCUUCUGGGCACGCCGAGCACUGCAACAUCCAACAACACGUAGAAGGGCUUAUUGGACAAAAUGCUGCCUCUGUCUCCCACAACUGGCCUUGACAUAAAACCAGCAUGAAAGAGGACUCUAUAAUUGACUGCAUUCACAUCUCCUCUGUAGUCUGAACUGAGGUGUUCAGUGGAUGAUUCACAUCUGUCAAAGAGCAUCUAGAGAGAUGGAGUUCAGUCGUUACACAAACAAGAAGCAAGUAUUUUUGCACAGAUUCAAAUCUUAUAUUUAUUUCCAUUUUAAUUGAAGUGUUUCUUGCUUAUGUAAUGCAUUUUUUUUUUAGCUUGAAGGAGUUACUUUGUAAAAGUCAACUUUUGUUUCAAAAAUUCAUCAAGUGAAUCUGAAACUGGGUCAAACUUCAGCAUUAGUGUUGGUUUUUAUGCCUUCUUGCGAUGAGAUUAUUCAGUUUAUAUGAGUUCUGGUGGCACACUGGGCUUGGUGCUUCUGCCACAAAUGUUAGGACAUUCCUGGUGUACAAAAUGUUGCCCUGCUCCUGCUUUCCCCAAGCAGUUCCCCAGUGUGGGAAAUGGCCCCUGGCCAUGGUAGAAGCUAUUGAGGAAAAUACCAUAGUAUGUUGUGAUGUCAGUACUUAAGAUAUCUCAGUCUGGGGACGUCAGCUCAUUUAAAAGGGUUUGGGGCAACUGCCUCCAAAAGCCUGGGCUUCUGUUCCUUUCCCUCACCCUGCAACAGGACCUCUGUUCCCUGUGUGGAUUCCCUUACAGGGAAAUACAGCCACUGCAGAUGCUCGGAUGAGGAUGGCUCUUGUGUAUGCAGGUCACUGCUCAUUUAGACUACAUUUUCUAAAAUGUUGUUUUGGGAAUAUUUGACCUUUGGGUGAAAGACAAUUGGAUUAACUGCUUUCAGAUGUAUUGUGUGCCCAACUCCUCUAGCACAAAAAACGUUAACCCCCUACUCCCCGAGCUUUGGCAAAAUGAUCAAUUAUUGCUAAGAGUUUUCAAAGGACACGCAGUGCCACGUAAGGUCAUUCUCAAUAAAUGUGUUUUAAAAAGAAGAAUCAUCUUUGUACAAAUGUCAAAAAUCACAUCAAAUUUUGAGGCACAAUUUAAAGGAGCAAAGCGAGGAAUCGAAGCUUCUCUUAUAGAUAAUGGGAGAGGGGAGAGCAUAUCUGGGAGGCAAUUAGUAGCAAUUCUGAGUGCUCAGUGGCUUCAAUCAAAUUGUUUGACUACUGCUCCAUUCUUCAUUUCUAUCUUCAAAGCUACUUUUGGUUACCAUACAUCAGGCCCAUGGAUGCUUCUUUAUAGUUUUGAAGGUAGAACAGUAGUGGUGUAUGUCCAUGUAUAUCCAGAAUUCAAAUGCAAGAUUUUGUCUAUAUCUGAAGUGUUAUGGGCUGGGGAGAAGGUGUAAAAUAUUGUGAAAAAUUGUUACUCUUCUGCUAGAAAACCUUUGGGGCACCGUAAUUAUAGUUCUGAGUGCCAUUUCUACAUAGCAGAAAUGGGUACACCUGGUAGGAGUGAAGUGAACCGUGUGAUGCUCCUGCAUUUUCUGGGUUCUUGUGUGAAAUCUGGGGUGCUCUGCACAGCGGUUUUAAUCCUGCAGUGCUUAUGAAUGCAGCCAUGAGCUGUUCUGCUCUCGGUGGCUCACAAAUAUCAUUCUAAAUAUCCAUUCAUAAAAUAGGACCAUCUUCAACGUUUUAACUGGCUUUAAUGUGACACUUUUUGCAGUCCUUAGCAAACAGCUUUCGACCAUAAAUGCCCAGAAGCAAGGAUUAUGAAAAACACUACAAUGGAAAGCCUGCAGCUGUAUCUAUUGUUUUGGGCCAUAGAUGUCAAGUGUGGAGGUGUUGGGUCUGAUAAAACCACUUCUUUGUCAUUUCUCUGUUUUAGUGUUAUAACACCCUUGAGAACUGAGAACUUGGUGGAUGCAUUAUGGAUUUAUGUAAAUGCCAUACCUCAAAAUGGCUCCUGUUCUCUGGAAUAGUGGAAAACUAUUUCUAAGCUGUUGGUGCAAUGCACUGCCAAGGAAAGCGAUGGGAAACGCAGCUUCUGCUGAAUUAAUUUGGAGUAGUUCUCAACAAGUUUUGAAGCUGACUUUUAAGAAAUUGUUCUCAAAAGCGUUUCUUUGAAAUUCUGGGCAAGCAGUUUUAAUGAUGGUAUCUAAUGUUAUUUUUUUUUCCCAUGUGCUGCAGCCUCAGAAUGUUCCAACACAGCUCCCUGUUGGGCUGUCCAUGGCAGUGAGCAGUGUGAGCCUGCCCUUGUGCCAGCACAGCUGAGUCAGCACAGGGAGGGCUGUGAGGUCAUCUCUUGACAGUUUGACUUCAAUUCACUCAAUUACUUGAUUAUUUGUAAUUUAAAAGUAAUUGAUUUAAACAUCCUACAGCACUCUCGUGCAAUAUAUGCACUCUCUAGUUCACUAGGAACCCCUCAUUCCUAUGCUUGAUAAUAUUCUUUAUGUAUAUUUUAGCCUACAUGUCAGAUGAGUUUUGCCAACCAUUAGGGAUUACCCAGUGCUUCCCAGCUGCCCUCUCUUGAUGUGAGGCACUCUGCAAGAUAACUCCUAAUUUCCAACCCAAGAAUAAAGUAACCAUGCUUACCUCUCUCCCCAUCUCUCCAUCCUUCCCUGCCUCCAGAUUUAACAAAGCCCCAGCACAGACAGCUGAAGUGCUCACUGGCUUUAUUCUUUGGCUGUGCUCAGAGUUUUUGCAGCAGGCUCUAAACUGUAGGAGCUGGAGUGGCUGCACACAGCCUGCAGUGAGGAUCCCUAUGCAGCCUUUCUUCAUGGAGCCUUUGCUGGUAUCUGCUGCCUGCUGGCCUUAGUUCCUGCUGCUUCUUCUUGUCCUGUCUGCAAAGCUCUGUGUCUGCGAAGAGGUAGUGAAGUUUUCUUUUUCCAUUUUAUUUCCUCCUUUAGCAGCCAGAUACGAACUACAAAUGCACAGUGGUUUCUGCUCUAGAUUUUUAGUGAAGUGGGGCACUUCACCUGAGUGGACUUGGAAUAGACUUGUGGAUGAUCCACAUAAAACCACUAAUAUUUGUGCUUUUCCAUGUUAGCUUUUGUUGGGGGAGCAGGGAAGUGCGAUGCUACAGGUGAGCAGUGCAGCAGAGCAUCUCUCCAGCUAACCUUUGGGUAGUCCUGUUGAGCAAGCCAAGCCUGUGGGAUGCCUGUCUGCGAGAGCAGUUGCUUGUUUGCUGUGAGUUCAUCUUCUAUUCUGCACGUUACUUCUUGCUCUGUAUCAGUAACACCCAGGAUUGCUUUGGGCCAGCGGAAGAGACUUCCGCUGCAAAGUACACACACACACACAAAUGCAUGAAGAAUUGCAAUGACAAGGUUGUGUUCCUUGCUGGCUGGUGAUAAAGAGGCACAGAGACACUGACCAAGCAGUCCCUUGGGGCAUUUAGGAACAUCUUUCCGCAUGUCUUAAAAUCUAUUUGGUUUGUCAUUAGUUUAUUUUUCAUUAUUGUCUAUAGUGGUUCUUAAAUAUCUUAAGAAAUAAAAAGUAAUCAUUGGUGGAAGAAAGAGGCAAGAUGGGUUGCUAAAAUGUGAAAGCUAAAAAAAGUGGGGAUCUAUCUGCUGUCGUUGCUCAUUUUAGUACUUCCUACAUCACUAGAUGCUGUGACUGAAGUAACUAGGAGCAGUUAGAAGUAAAUUGGCGUAAACACAUUCACUCUAAAGGAUGGAUUUUAAUUGCAUUCAUCUAUUGAAAUUUUACUGUCUAAUCUAAAAGCAGGCUGUCCCUUUGUGGUCCCUAAUUUGUUUCUCGUUGCCAUUCUGUGGAUCUGAGGAUGCACCCCUUGUGGUCAGGCUGGUGGUGCUGAGCUGAGCACUCACCUUAUUCAAAGACAAAUUAAAGCUUAGCAGGUUGCAUCAGGUAUGAACUUUCCAAAACAAGGAGGGCUUACAGCACAAAGCAGCAUUUUGGUCUGUGGGUACCUGAAGGUAAGCUGAGAUCUGGUAUUGGUGCAAUGUUUUACUAAGUAUGGGCCUCUGGCUCCAGCCCUGGAAGCAUUUCAAAGGCAAGUUAGCAUUUGCUGUCUCUUCAGAGGAUGGCAAGAAAGGGAAGACUAUUGCUUCUUUCAUGGGGGGAAAGAAAUAAAUGUGGCUUUAGAAAUAGUUUGAAGUGAUUUCACUAAAGUGCAGCCAACAGCUGAAAAGACCAGAGUUGUGUUCUCUGGUUUCCCCAACCCGUCUGGCAUUUGUUGCACAGCUUUCUGAUGUGAAGCUGAUAGGAAAGCCGCCCUGCUCCCCUGCAGUUGAGGCCGCUUGUGCAUAUCUGAUAAAUGCAUAUUGGUAGGCAGCAUUCAGCUAAUGUAGGAAUCCAUUUAUAGAGUCAGAUCAGCAUUCCUUCUGCUGUAUUCCUCUACUCAUAGAGCAGGGCUGCAGAGCAUGCUUCUCUUUUGCCUGUUUUCCAGAUCAUUGGGGUGAUCAGUUUCUAUAAAUGAAAACCUUCUCCUUUUAUUGUGCCACUGGUUUAAAUGACUCUGAUAUCUGAGAGAGAAAACGUAGUUCUCAGGUUCCUGGAGCCACGUUAGCCCCGUGAGUGUAGCUGUCAUUAACCCUGUAGUCCACGUGGCAAUGCUCUCCAAACAAGGUCAGUGCACUCCCAGCUAAUUCUGGAUAACUUUUACCUGCUCAGAAACCAGAGCCUCAGCGUCUCCUCUUGUCCUUUGCCUUCGAUAUGUUCCCAUUUACCCUCUGGAUGUUCCCCAACAGGCCUGAAGGAUGCUGCUCCCAGCUGCUCUGGGGGUUGCAGAACUGCCAUGGAGGAUGGAAGGGUCUCACUCAGUGCCUCUCCUCCUGCUGUCUCCCUCAGCAGCUGUUCCAUGAAGCCCCUGGAAGGAGCUCGGCUUGUUCUUAAAGAGAUUCAUUUUUAAUUUGCAGCUCUUGAAGCAAUACUUGCUCUGCCAGGUAAAAUAACAGGACUUUAACACAGAACGCGGUUACUUUACGACAGCUGCAAUACAAAGUGAGACAAUGUAUUCUAGGUCAUUCUUUCAGUCUUUUUUUUUUUUCUCCAGUGUAAUUAUUUUCCAUGGGUACCCUCACACAAUGUUUUUUUGGAAAAAACCCUUUUGAGAAUAAGCGAUAAAUAUUCGUAGCAGUCAUAACGAUGAUGAACUCUUCACUGCUGGUGUCAGCCUGAUCACCAUUGAGAACAGAGAUUUUAAUAGCAGGCUCAUUUUAAUACAUCUUCCUUUUUCUUUGAAAUGUGAAACGUGGAUGUUGACUGCUGCAGUCUCCAAACAGAAGGCAAGUUUGUGCCGGCUCUUUCCUGCAGUGCUUACUGCCCGUGACAGCUCAGUUAUAUACCAAAGCUCCUUCUGGUGGAGUUCAUUGCUUUGACAAAACUGUUUAUGGCUCAUAGAGGAGCUACACGAAUUUUUAAUCAUGAUGUCUGAGUGUGGUUCUAAGCCAGAUAUACGAAGAGGUUGGUUUGAUCACUCUUGUUGUCUGUAGUUGGAUCUGUUCACCUUGGGUUCUUCUUGUGUCUCUUUGGGACUGGCUGCUGUUGAACGUCCUUUGCCAUCAUUGUUAUUCGGUGGUGUAUGGGAGGAGCAGCAGACAGGGGCUGUGUGCUGCUGUACUCUGCCUUUGAAAAGGACAAUGUAACGUUUGGACCAGCUCCAUCUUAUUUUCCUCUGGAUAAGCUCUCGCAUUAUAUGCAAGCAUAAAACUAUGGUGGUGGAUAUUAUACUGUAAAAGAAGAAAUGCAAUGCACUAAGAGAUUUGUAGCAGCAGGUACUUUGGCUCUGAAAGAACGUCUGAAUGGCCUGUAACACGAGGGGCAAGACAGCCCAUGCCUCUGUAAAAUACGUGCUAUUGCUCUAUUUUGUUUUGCUCAGAAAUGCUGUGGCUGCUUUCCUUGUUGUUGUGGUUUAUGCAACUGCUGCACUAUAUUCUGUGAGCCAGUACCUUGCUGAAAGACCAGAGUCUGGAUCUGUGGUGUUACAGCCUCCAGGAGAAAAUUGCUCCUGCUGAUAAUGAUCUCCAAAUCCUUCUCAGAUGGUCUCAUAUGUGAGCAUCUCUGCUGUGUUACGUUGCUCUGGGAGUUUUUCAGCCUGGAUUGUUGUCAUAGAAUCAUAGAAUCGCUAAGGUUGGAAAAGACCCACAGGAUCAUCCAGUCCAACCAUUCGCCCUUCACCAAUGGUUCUCGCUAAACCAUGUCCCUCAACACAACAUCCAAACACUCU
Molecule: long non-coding RNA, 6884 nt
Organism: Gallus gallus (chicken)
Lineage: Eukaryota; Metazoa; Chordata; Aves; Galliformes; Phasianidae
Exons: 7
Source: RefSeq, a predicted model, not a curated record